RNAcentral lists this ribosomal RNA (253 nucleotides) under uncultured bacterium. Its description in RNAcentral is "partial 16S ribosomal RNA". It matches the Rfam family "Bacterial small subunit ribosomal RNA", at positions 524 to 776 of the family's 1533-position model. The record is from RNAcentral.
UACGUAGGGGGCUAGCGUUGUCCGGAAUCAUUGGGCGUAAAGAGCGUGUAGGCGGCCCGGUAAGUCCGCUGUGAAAGUCGGGGGCUCAACCCUCGAAUGCCGGUGGAUACUGUCGGGCUAGAGUGCGGAAGAGGCGAGUGGAAUUCCUGGUGUAGCGGUGAAAUGCGCAGAUAUCAGGAGGAACACCAAUGGCGAAGGCAGCACUCUGGGACGGUACUGACGCUGAGACGCGAAAGCGUGGGGAGCAAACAGG